RNAcentral lists this long non-coding RNA (2181 nucleotides) under Canis lupus familiaris (dog). Its description in RNAcentral is "lncRNA (ENSCAFG00845003863.1)". The record is from RNAcentral. Lineage: Eukaryota; Metazoa; Chordata; Mammalia; Carnivora; Canidae.
UUUAUGAUAGUCACAGAGAGAGAGAGAGAGAGAGAGGCAGAGACAUAGGCAGAGGGAGAAGCAGGCUCCAUGCACCGGGAGUCCGAUGUGGGAUUCGAUCCCAGGUCUCCAGGAUCGCGCCCUGGGCCAAAGACAGGCGCCAAACCGCUGCGCCACCCAGGGAUCCCUCAAAAUAUUUUUUAAAGGUUUUAUUUAUUUAUUCAUAAAAGCCACAGAGAGAGAGAGGCAGAGGGAGAAGCAGGCUCCAAGCAGGAGACCAAUGUGGGACGGGAGCAUGGGAUCACGCCCUGAGCUGAAGGCAGACGCUCAACCACUGAGCCAUCCAAGCGCCCCAAAUAAAUAUAAUCUUAAAAAAAAAAAAAAUAGAGAGAGAAACUAAACUCAUAAUUAACUAUCAAACAUUAGUAGGAAGAUUGGGAGAAAGAUGGGGGAGUAACUGAACUAAGUAUUCAUCUUUUUAUAAAAGGGAGUAGGCAAAUGUCUAAUCAAUAAAAAUUAAAAAAAAAAAAAACAUUAAAUAAAGCUAAUCAAUCAAGGACUGCAGGUAAAAGCUUGUAACUUAAAGUUACCUAAAGAACAAAACACCCAAAUAGUUUAAAAUGUUUGUUUCUGGGACAAUGGCAGGCAAGGAAUGAGAAACUGAGUAUUUUGUUGUUGUUGCUAACAUGUUUAUAUAUUAUUACUUCAGUUAAGAAAAAAAAAAUAUAAAGAAUUUUCUGCUAGAAACUUCUUGCCUAAAGGUAGGAUUUUUUUUUUAAGAUUUAUUUAUUUAUUUAUUCAUGAGAAACACACAGAGAGAGAAAGAGAGAGGCAGAGACACAGGCAGAGGGAGAAGCAGGCUCCAUGCAAGGAGCCCGAUGCGGAACUCGAUCCCAGGUCUCCAGGAUCUCACCCUGAGCUGAAGGCAGAGCUAAACUGCUGCGCCACCAGGGCUGCCCCAAGGUAGGAUUUUAGAGAUGUUAAAAUCUCCCUGUAUAUAAAUACCACAGGAAAAAAAAAAAAAUGGUAUCCUUCAAGUAAAUGAAAACUUGUAUUUUCUUUGUGGUAUAAAAGUAUGAGUUCCCCUCACCCCAGUGCUCCCGUUAAUAUUCAAUAUAAGUGAAGUAGUUCACAUUCCUAGAGAAUCCAGUUAAGAACUGACCAAUAUUUUUUUAAGACUUUAUUUAUUUAUUCAUGAGAGACACAGAGAGAGAGGCAGAGACAUAGGCAGAGAGAGAAACAGGUUCCCUGCAGCGAGCCUGAUGGGGGUUUUUAGGACUCUGGGAUCAUGACAUGACCUGAGCCAAAGGUAGACACUCAACCACUGAGGCACCCAAGUGUCCCAGAACUGACAAAUUUUUAUACCUAGAAAUUUAUUUGAUAUCACUGUGGCUUUUAAAAGUUAUUUUGAAAAAAGUUACUUGUAAAAUGUAAUACUUAAGUGAUAUGCCACUACUCACAAAAUCAGGUAUUGGCACAAAUAUAAUCCACUGAAAAAUGUACAUAGACAAUAAUUUAGUAUCAUUUAGACAAUAAUUAACUCAAACUAGGGACCAGAAAGCAUAGGUCAUUCAGGUCAAGAAUUCCAGCCAUGGCAGAUAUCACAAUCAAACAUGGCACUCUUCCCAGUAGAACAAGAGAACAAUCUCCAAAUCCUCAACAUAGUACUCCUCAGCCUCUAAAACUGUUUACAGUUGGCCUAUCAAGUGAAACCCCUUUGCCCUGGAGCAAAGAUUCUAAUUAAUGUUACUGUAUGAAAAUAUUCACUUCAUUUCUUCUAUUCAGCACCUAAGAGUCUUAAGAGAUUUUCCCAAAGGAUUAAAUAUUACAUUCUGUAAUGAGAACAUUGCAGUAAUUGACCAUGAAGUAUAUAGGUCUUCAUGACAAAGUCUUUUUUUUUUUUUUAAAGAUUUUAUUUAUUUAUUCAUGAGAGACACAGAGAGAGAGAGAGGCAGAGACACAGGCAGAGGGAGAAGCAGGCUCCAUGCAAGGAGCCCAAUGUGGGACUCGAUCCUGGAACUCCAGGAUCACACCUGGACUGAAGGUGACACCAAACCACUGAGCCACCAGGGCUGCCCCAUGACAAAGUCUUAUAGCUAUUCAACUAGUAUGACCUGAAAAGUCUGGUGAGUAUUCCAAGAGUAAGGAAUACCAAAGAAAUUAUCUGAAAACUAGUCAAAACUACCUAAAAGAUCAGUUGUC